UGGAGUUGGAGAGUGGCUUAACCAGCAAGUUUGCGGUCUGCCAAAAGAGCUGUGUGGUGGUGAGUCCCGGGUAAAGCCAUUCCUCAAUUCUA
RNAcentral lists this microRNA precursor (92 nucleotides) under Anopheles gambiae (African malaria mosquito). Its description in RNAcentral is "microRNA aga-mir-10377a precursor". Lineage: Eukaryota; Metazoa; Arthropoda; Insecta; Diptera; Culicidae. The record is from miRBase by way of RNAcentral.